Long non-coding RNA from Zophobas morio, 379 nucleotides. RefSeq lists it as uncharacterized. The record is from RefSeq and is a predicted model, not a curated record. Lineage: Eukaryota; Metazoa; Arthropoda; Insecta; Coleoptera; Tenebrionidae. The transcript is spliced from 4 exons.
UAUAGCUCCCUUUUGCCAGAAUCACUGUUUAAUACACUCUUCCUGGGCGCGAGGAUUAAUUUUUGUCCCAUUUUUCAAAGCGGAGCUUUCACAAAUCUUGACAGUUAUCUCAAACUUUAUUCAAGUUCAUUAAGGCUAACUCCUCUUCCACUGGAUAAAUGCUUUCGUACUAGCUAAACCCUCUCAAAAUAUAUGUAUUUUCUGUAGUCGCAUUCAGAGAUCUAUGCUCAAUCGUACAUAUGGCUACCGCCUGAAUGAAAUUGUUCCGUUUAUUCUGUGUUGUAGUUUAACUGCUAAACUAUCACGCUCGGAUAAAACCAGUUCAAACCUGACCAACACCUUGGCGCUUCGCCCAUUCACCUUGUUGCAGUCUUUUACC